GAUGAACGCUGGCGGCGUGCUUAACACAUGCAAGUCGAACGGAAAGGCCCAAACUUGCUUGUGUACUCGAGUGGCGAACGGGGGAGUAACACGGGGGUGAUCUGCCCUGCACUUCGGGAUAAGCCUGGGAAACUGGGUCUAAUACCGGAUAGGACGCUGGUUUGUAUGCCAUUGUGGAAAGUUUUGUCGGUGUGGGAUGAGGUCGCGGCCUAUCGGCUUGUUGGGGGGGUCAUGGCCUACCAAGGCGUCGACGGGUAGCCGGACUGAGAGAGUGUACGGCCGCACUGGGACUGAGAGGAGGCCGCGACUCGUACGCGUGGGAGAAGUGGGGAAGAUUGAACAAUGGGCGCAAGCCUGAUGAAGAGAGGCCGCGUGGGGGAUGACGGUGUUGGGGGUGUAGAAUAAUUUCGAGAGGGAAGAAGCGUUUUUGUGACGGUACCUAGAGAAGAAGCACCGGCUAACUACGUG
RNAcentral lists this ribosomal RNA (468 nucleotides) under uncultured bacterium. RNAcentral's name for it is "partial 16S ribosomal RNA". It matches the Rfam family "Bacterial small subunit ribosomal RNA", at positions 28 to 507 of the family's 1533-position model. The record is from RNAcentral.